This 680-nucleotide long non-coding RNA is filed under the name Triticum aestivum (bread wheat). Its description in RNAcentral is "long non-coding RNA (TAES_LNC016575)". Lineage: Eukaryota; Viridiplantae; Streptophyta; Magnoliopsida; Poales; Poaceae. The record is from RNAcentral.
GCGAGGACGCCGUCGUGGCCGGAUCGUGGCGCUGGACCUUCGGAGGAGCACAAAGUCUAGAAACAGCUGGAGCACUGGAUUUCUUACGAGAGACAAUGCAUCCUUUCACACAGCGCGACGGUGACACGGAUGAAACAGCACCAGGAUAAUCACGUAUACCAAUAUAAACAUAGGCAAGCCGCAAUAUGCCGGCCGAGAAUUUGGCGGAGACAAAAGAGAGUUUAAUCCCUUAACCUGGCAACAUGUUUCAUCUAGCUCCGUUAACUACUUAACUCCAUAAUUUGCAUCCGUUCCAACUUCCUCCAUGUACAGUCUCAAGGUAACCAAUCUAGGCCACACAAGCUUACAGGAACCAUCUCGCUGCCACUGGAGAUCGGCAACCUUGUGAGUCUGAAGAGCCUGCACACAGGAAAACAAAAAUAAUACCACCCAGCAUAAGAUUUGGUAUUGAACUUGGGAUACAACUAAGUAGUUACUUCCUCCGAUCCAUAUUACUUGUCGCAGCUUUAGUACAACUUUAUACAGUCGAGCUGUAGAGAACAUACUUAGUUAAUUGUUUGAGAUAGAACAUGCCUUUCUGACCACCUCUUCGGGCUUUGCCUGCUUUUCCCACUCGAUGUGCUCUUGCAUACAUGGCUAUAUUUCUUCUUAGGCCUUGUACAAUGCUAGGUGCUUAGGGA